Eumeta japonica is the source of this 94-nucleotide non-coding RNA. The record is from the annotation of a GenBank genome assembly. NCBI's taxonomy places the organism in Eukaryota, Metazoa, Arthropoda, Insecta, Lepidoptera, Psychidae.
AACGUCCAUACCACCCUGAAUACACCAGCUCUCUUCCGAUGAUCGCAGUUAAGCAGCGUCGGGUGCGGUUAGUACUUGGAUGGGUAACCGCGUG